GUUUAACUUUUCGUCUUAUUUAAAAAAAUUACGAUUAAUAUUUUUAUUUUUAUUAGAUUAUAAAAUAUGAAUAGUACUUUACAUGUGACUAAUUUCUUUGAAUUUUUUAUAAAAUUUUCAAAUAAGACGGAUGGUCAAAC
RNAcentral lists this microRNA precursor (140 nucleotides) under Oryza brachyantha (malo sina). Its description in RNAcentral is "MIR812 microRNA precursor family". It matches the Rfam family "MIR812 microRNA precursor family", at positions 32 to 174 of the family's 205-position model. The record is from Rfam by way of RNAcentral. Lineage: Eukaryota; Viridiplantae; Streptophyta; Magnoliopsida; Poales; Poaceae.